UACCAGCACCCCGAGUGGUCGGGACGAUUAUUGGGCCUAAAGCAUCCGUAGCCGGUUCUUUAAGUCCUCCGUUAAAUCCACCUGCUUAACAGAUGGGCUGCGGAGGAUACUAUAGAGCUAGGAGGCGGGAGAGGCAAGCGGUACUCAGUGGGUAGGGGUAAAAUCCGUUGAUCCAUUGAAGACCACCAGUGGCGAAGGCGGCUUGCCAGAACGCGCUCGACGGUGAGGGAUGAAAGCUGGGGGAGCAAACCGG
Molecule: ribosomal RNA, 253 nt
Filed under: uncultured bacterium
Lineage: Bacteria
Also listed under: 1 other name
Description: partial 16S ribosomal RNA
Rfam family: Archaeal small subunit ribosomal RNA
Source: RNAcentral